UACGUAGGGUGCGAGCGUUGUCCGGAAUUAUUGGGCGUAAAGGGCUCGUAGGCGGUUUGUCGCGUCGGGAGUGAAAACCAUGGGCUUAACUCAUGGCUUGCUUCCGAUACGGGCAGACUAGAGGUAUGCAGGGGAGAACGGAAUUCCUGGUGUAGCGGUGAAAUGCGCAGAUAUCAGGAGGAACACCGGUGGCGAAGGCGGCUUACUGGUCCGGAACUGACGCUGAGGUGCGAAAGCGUGGGGAGCAAACAGG
Molecule: ribosomal RNA, 253 nt
Filed under: uncultured bacterium
Lineage: Bacteria
Description: partial 16S ribosomal RNA
Rfam family: Bacterial small subunit ribosomal RNA
Source: RNAcentral